Long non-coding RNA from Pipra filicauda (Wire-tailed manakin), 632 nucleotides. RefSeq lists it as uncharacterized. The transcript is spliced from 3 exons. Lineage: Eukaryota; Metazoa; Chordata; Aves; Passeriformes; Pipridae. The record is from RefSeq and is a predicted model, not a curated record.
CGUGUGGGGGAGCGAGGCCUGGUGAGGCCUUGCCUUGUGGAGCUUGGGAGGCAGAGGGUGCUGGCGGUCAUUCAGUGUGAUUUCUGCCUGUUUCCCAGAGGGAGGGGUGAAGUCACCUGUGGUUGAGGAGGGAGAAAACCUGAUUUUAGCAAUGAGACUCCUCAUGUGCAGCUGAAAUGAGCAGAAAUACAAGCUUUUACUGUCUCUAAAACACUCAUUUAAUCCUCACACACACACCCUCUAUUUCUGCUUUCUGAGAGAACACACUUCCUCAUGCUGAGUUCGUAUCAUCUUAUGAAGUGCCACAGCUACCUCUCACCCAGCUUCAGGUCCUCAUGAAUAUUAAAACAAAGGAGAUCAUGGGAAGGAAAGUGGAAUAUUUGAAAGGACAUUUGAGGAAAUCCUCUUAAGAAUUACUGAAAAUAUCUCAUAAUAACAAGAAGAAAACCAGGUCACAUCCUUCCUGUUUCUUGUUCCUCAUUUCAAAUAAAAUAUUUAUUUUAAGUAGUUUAAUAAAGAAAACAGAGGCGAGAACCAAGAAAAGUCUUUAAUUUCUGAGGAAAUAUAGUUCCUUCAGCACUUGAGAGGAUUUUGUCUUAACACAAAGGAAGGAGCUGGGAUGAAGGACAGAA